This 417-nucleotide ribosomal RNA is filed under the name uncultured beta proteobacterium. RNAcentral's name for it is "bacterial SSU rRNA". It matches the Rfam family "Bacterial small subunit ribosomal RNA", at positions 9 to 429 of the family's 1533-position model. Lineage: Bacteria; Pseudomonadati; Pseudomonadota; Betaproteobacteria. The record is from RNAcentral.
GAGUUUGAUCUUGGCUCAGAUUGAACGCUGGCGGCAUGCCUUACACAUGCAAGUCGAGCGGCAGCGCGGGGGCAACCCUGGCGGCGAGCGGCGAACGGGUGAGUAAUGCAUCGGAACGUGUCCUCUUGUGGGGGAUAACCAGUCGAAAGACUGGCUAAUACCGCAUGAGAUCGAGAGAUGAAAGCAGGGGACCGCAAGGCCUUGCGCGAGAGGAGCGGCCGAUGCCGGAUUAGCUAGUUGGUGGGGUAAAGGCCUACCAAGGCGACGAUCCGUAGCUGGUCUGAGAGGACGACCAGCCACACUGGGACUGAGACACGGCCCAGACUCCUACGGGAGGCAGCAGUGGGGAAUUUUGGACAAUGGGGGCAACCCUGAUCCAGCCAUGCCGCGUGAGUGAAGAAGGCCUUCGGUUGUAAG